RNAcentral lists this microRNA precursor (122 nucleotides) under Gossypium hirsutum (cotton). RNAcentral's name for it is "MIR7504 microRNA precursor family". It matches the Rfam family "MIR7504 microRNA precursor family". RNAcentral also lists the same sequence under 1 other name. The record is from Rfam by way of RNAcentral. Lineage: Eukaryota; Viridiplantae; Streptophyta; Magnoliopsida; Malvales; Malvaceae.
AAUAGUUUUAUGCCACAUCAGUACUCUUAUCCUGAAUUUCAAGAUUUUAUCCUGAAAAAAAUCAAAUCCAAAUUAAAAUACUAAAAUUCAGGAUAAGAAUACUGAUGUGGCAUAAAACUAUU